Molecule: ribosomal RNA, 497 nt
Filed under: uncultured bacterium
Lineage: Bacteria
Description: partial 16S ribosomal RNA
Rfam family: Bacterial small subunit ribosomal RNA
Source: RNAcentral
GAUGAACGCUGGCGGCGUGCCUAAUACAUGCAAGUCGAGCGAACAGACGAGGAGCUUGCUCCUCUGACGUUAGCGGCGGACGGGUGAGUCACACGUGGAUAACCUACCUAUAAGACUGGGAUAACUUCGGGAAACCGGAGCUAAUACCGGAUAAUAUAUUGAACCGCAUGGUUCAAUAGUGAAAGACGGUUUUGCUGUCACUUAUAGAUGGAUCCGCGCCGCAUUAGCUAGUUGGUAAGGUAACGGCUUACCAAGGCGACGAUGCGUAGCCGACCUGAUAGGGUGAUCGGCCACACUGGAGGUGAGACACGGACCAGACUACUACGGGAGGCAGCAGUAGGGAAUCUGACGCAAUGGGCGAAAGCCUGACGGAGCAACGCCGCGUGAGUGAUGAAGGUCUUCGGAUCGUAAAACUCUGUUAUUAGGGAAGAACAAAUGUGUAAGUAACUAUGCACGUCUUGACGGUACCUAAUCAGAAAGCCACGGCUAACUACGUG